GAUGAACGCUGGCGGCGUGCCUAAUACAUGCGAGUCGAGCGAACGGACGAGAAGCUUGCUUCUCUGAUGUUAGCGGCGGACGGGUGAGUAACACGUGGAUAACCUACCUAUAAGACUGGGAUAACUUCGGGAAACCGGAGCUAAUACCGGAUAAUAUUUUGAACCGCAUGGUUCAAAAGUGAAAGACGGUCUUGCUGUCACUUAUAGAUGGAUCCGCGCUGCAUUAGCCAGUUGGUAAGGUAACGGCUUACCAAGGCAACGAUGCAUAGCCGACCUGAGAGGGUGAUCGGCCACACUGGAACUGAGACACGGUCCAGACUCCUACGGGAGGCAGCAGUAGGGAAUCUUCCGCAAUGGGCGAAAGCCUGACGGAGCAACGCCGCGUGAGUGAUGAAGGUCUUCGGAUCGUAAAACUCUGUUAUUAGGGAAGAACAUAUGUGUAAGUAACUGUGCACAUCUUGACGGUACCUAAUCAGAAAGCCACGGCUAACUACGUG
This 497-nucleotide ribosomal RNA is filed under the name uncultured bacterium. RNAcentral's name for it is "partial 16S ribosomal RNA". It matches the Rfam family "Bacterial small subunit ribosomal RNA", at positions 28 to 507 of the family's 1533-position model. The record is from RNAcentral.